RNAcentral lists this ribosomal RNA (253 nucleotides) under uncultured bacterium. RNAcentral describes it as "partial 16S ribosomal RNA". It matches the Rfam family "Bacterial small subunit ribosomal RNA", at positions 524 to 776 of the family's 1533-position model. The record is from RNAcentral.
UACGGAGGGUGCAAGCGUUAUCCAGAUUCACUGGGUUUAAAGGGAGCGCAGGCGGAUUUGUAAGUCAGUGGUGAAAGGCUUAAGCUUAACUUGGGAACUGCCAUUGAUACUAUAAGUCUUGAAUGUUGUUGAGGUUUGCGGAAUGGGUCAUGUAGCGGUGAAAUGCAUAGAUAUGACCCGGAACACCUAUUGCGAAGGCAGCAGGCUAAACAAAUAUUGACGCUGAGGCUCGAAAGCGUGGGGAUCAAGCAGG